This 1117-nucleotide ribosomal RNA is filed under the name human gut metagenome. RNAcentral describes it as "bacterial LSU rRNA". It matches the Rfam family "Bacterial large subunit ribosomal RNA", at positions 1346 to 2447 of the family's 2925-position model. The record is from RNAcentral.
CAAGGGUUCCUGUCCAACGUUAAUCGGGGCAGGGUGAGUCGGCCCCUAAGGCGAGGCUGAAAAGCGUAGUCGAUGGGAAACGGGUUAAUAUUCCCGUACUUGGAUAAACUGCGAUGUGGGGACGGAGCAGGUUAGGUUAUCGCACUGUUGGAUAUGUGCGUUUAAGUUGGUAGGUGAGAAGUUUAGGCAAAUCCGGACUUCUAUAACACCGAGAGAUGAUGACGAGGCUCUACGGAGCUGAAGUAACCGAUACCACACUUCCAGGAAAAGCCACUAAGCUUCAGGUUUAUCUAAACCGUACUGAAAACCGACACAGGUGGUCAGGUAGAGAAUACUCAGGCGCUUGAGAGAACUCGGGUGAAGGAACUAGGCAAAAUAGCACCGUAACUUCGGGAGAAGGUGCGCCGGCGUAGAUUGUAGUCCCUUGCGGGCGAAGGUUGAACCGGUCGAAGAUACCAGCUGGCUGCAACUGUUUAUUAAAAACACAGCACUCUGCAAACACGAAAGUGGACGUAUAGGGUGUGAUGCCUGCCCGGUGCUGGAAGGUUAAUUGAUGGUGUAAUCGAAAGAGAAGCUCCUGAUCGAAGCCCCAGUAAACGGCGGCCGUAACUAUAACGGUCCUAAGGUAGCGAAAUUCCUUGUCGGGUAAGUUCCGACCUGCACGAAUGGCAUAAUGAUGGCCAGGCUGUCUCCACCCGAGACUCAGUGAAAUUGAAAUCGCCGUGAAGAUGCGGUGUACCCGCGGCUAGACGGAAAGACCCCGUGAACCUUUACUAUAGCUUGACACUGAACAUUGAAUUUUGAUGUGUAGGAUAGGUGGGAGACUUAGAAGUAGUCACGCCAGUGAUUAUGGAGUCGUCCUUGAAAUACCACCCUUUAACGUUUGAUGUUCUAACGAAGAUUACGAAACGUGGUCUCGGACAGUGUCUGGUGGGUAGUUUGACUGGGGCGGUCUCCUCCCAAAGAGUAACGGAGGAGCACGAAGGUUUGCUAAUGACGGUCGGACAUCGUCAGGUUAGUGCAAUGGUAUAAGCAAGCUUAACUGCGAGACAGACAAGUCGAGCAGGUACGAAAGUAGGUCAUAGUGAUCCGGUGGUUCUGAAUGGAAGGGCCAUCG